RNAcentral lists this unclassified non-coding RNA (240 nucleotides) under soil metagenome. RNAcentral's name for it is "partial contains 5.8S ribosomal RNA, internal transcribed spacer 2, and large subunit ribosomal RNA". The record is from RNAcentral.
AACAUCGCGCACCUGCGGGAACCUGCGGAGGGAUCAUUACAAAGCCUUGGCCGGUCCCCGGUCCGGCCGCUGGAAGCACCGGCGGGGGCUCUCGUGCCUGCCGGUGCGGACGGUUGACCCUUUGUGAAAACCCCCCUUGUUGAUUUGGCAGCAUCUCCCGGGUCUGCCCCGGGGGGAAUCAGCCUGCCGGUAACACCUUUGGAAAACCCUUUGUCCUGAAAGGUAGCAACUGACAACGUC